AUACUUCUAUGUUGGCGUCCUCGAGCUUGAGUGAUCCAUCGAAAUACAUGACCCAAUGCUCUAGUCGCUCUGCCGGUGCGGGUACUUGAUGUUCCCACCACUCUACCAUGAAAUCAACUAGUGCUUGCAACUUGUGGCAGUCCUUGGUUUGAAAUCUAGGGACAAGGCUCCGAGUUCUACUGCCCACUUGGAGAUUCUUCCUGUUGCAUCUCUGAUGUGGAGUAUG
This 226-nucleotide long non-coding RNA is filed under the name Setaria viridis. RNAcentral's name for it is "long non-coding RNA (SVIR_LNC002862)". Lineage: Eukaryota; Viridiplantae; Streptophyta; Magnoliopsida; Poales; Poaceae. The record is from RNAcentral.